This is a long non-coding RNA of Gasterosteus aculeatus aculeatus (three-spined stickleback), 1561 nucleotides long. The record is from Ensembl. NCBI's taxonomy places the organism in Eukaryota, Metazoa, Chordata, Actinopteri, Perciformes, Gasterosteidae.
GAGAGACAGAGAGGGGAGGAUCCCCGUCUCAGGCCGGAGACUGUGGGGGACGGAAGGGACAACUGGGUGGAUCUGAGACAUCAGCCACUGUCUUCACAUCACAUCAUGUUAUGAGACCAAAUAGUUUGCUGCCGCUCCUUAUGGACAUUGAAAAUGUUUGAAAGUUCUGGUUUCACUUUGAAUCAUUUAUUCUUGUAUUUUUUUCAGAAAUCAGAAAACAUUUAUUGCUAUAAUAUGUCAGACAUACAAGGAAUUUGACUUGGCGGUUGGCGCGUAACAGCAGACAAUACGACAAUAGACGACAAGACAAUAUAGUGCAAGAGGAAUGAAAUAUAAUGCUAUGGGUUAGUUUAAAAACUAAAGUUAAAAAGUAUUUAAAAAUUAAAAAUAAAGUGCACCAGCGAACAGAAAGUGACAAGUGAAAGUGACGUGUGCAGUGUGAAGAAAGUGACCGGUGGAAUGUCAGAGUCAGUCAGUGGGGGACCGGGCUCUGUUAAUGAGCACAACUGCAGUCAGAGUCAGUCAGAGUUUUUUAUUUCUACUACAGAUCUUCAUUGUAGACUGAUUCAAUAUACCCAAGACUGUGUAAGAAGGAACUGGGGGCUGCUUAUCAUCACGCUUUGGGAAUGCCCCAGCUGUCAUUCCACGCAAGGUUUUGUGUACAGGAUUUGGUGCCAAUAGGUUUGCUCUGAUUAAUAUCAGUCGACUUUAUGAUGAGUUGAAUGCCGAACUGAGGUAAAAACUAUUUCCAGACGCCGAUUUUAUUAGAGCCAUUUUAAGCUCUGUAUUUAAAAUUCUGUCAUCUUUAAUUGCCGUUGUCAAUUCCAGUCCUGGAUUGUAAAUUUUCUCUUCAAUUGACUCUUUUUAUGACAGUCUCAUCUCAUGGAACCUGACAGGCUGUCUUCUCCAUUAAACCCACUGACUUGUUUCAGUAGAACGUCCAAAUUCGCCACUGAAAUCUAUCGACUAUGUUGAAUUUGCCUUCAAUGACCAGCGUGGUUUUAACAGCGUACCCUUUUUUCUUCUGCUCUACCCUUCCCAUGGUUCCACAGUCUUUGGAGCAUUAAGUCAAAUUCCACUGUCAAUAUGGCUCAAUUCAUUGUAUUUUUUCCUCCAUCAUCCAGUUGUCUUGGGAGACUUUGAGCAAAUUGGGAAUAUCUAUGAUGACUUGACUUGAAAUGGAUCAGCGGUUUACCGUUUGUGUUGACGCCGGAGUCGUCAUAAGAAGUUUUUUGCAUGGGACAUUAUCGGAACUGGGCCGUACGGAGCUCAGACUUCAACCCAAUCCAAAACGUCCGUCUACGAGCCUUCAUCGCACAACUUCGGUGACCGGCCAACAUGUACGGCAAUGUGGCUUUAUUCUCAACGCUGAUAUGUUAGCGUCAGUAAACUGGUAAUAAUUGUGACGGCCUCUGUGUGGUUCAUUGAGGCCACUCUGUGGGAGUGAUACCUCUCUAGUAACCAUCUUUGUCCGGAGUUGAUGGCAGAUCUGGAGCACCUGGGAGCGGUGAGCCAAUGGUGAUGAAGCCCCACCUGAUCGGACUACACCUCUCGCUCUUCA